CCAUGAGUGCAGUAUUGGAGUAAAACCUCUUAGUUAAAUGAUCACCAUUAGGACUUGGUUUUGUCAAAUCCUUUAUGCCUCUUCACCUUCAUCAUAGCUGGAGUGCCAGUGGCUUACAUCGUUGCUGGCACACUACACUUCAGGGAGACGGGCAGGAUUGUCAGAGCGAGCUCAAACUGCAGUUUUGCCGCAAGCUCUCAUUUACCCAAAGUUUUUGGCUCUUGGGUGUUAUCCUGGGAGCACCCAAUACGCAAACCAGCAUCCAGCGGCACAGUGAGGAUCACAUCACCACGGGAAGCUCCUGAAAGCAUCCAUAAAACUCCGGAGAGAAUUGAGAAUGUAAUACUGAUCUGAUAAAGCGCUGCGCCUUAUACCUGGGUCAGCAGUAGAAACACAUACUUGCCUUGAAGCAAAAUGACAAACUGAGAGGCCAAAAUGCUUUGCAAGCGUUUCACUGUCAAAAGUCAAACUGUAUGUGGCGUAAAUACGUGUGCUUUUUCUGGUGGGACUUCACAAACCCCCUUUUUUUUUUUAAACCUUUCUAUAGAUAUUUUCUGCCAAUUAACCCUGCCUCAGGAGAGAUUUGCCUAUCUCAAGCCCCAGCUUUGCGCCUGUGCAGCUCGCGGCGUCACUCUCCCUACGUCUCAGGUAUAAUUUGCAUGCCUCGGUCAAGGCUAAACUGAAGCGGAUGAAGCGUUGCGGUUUGAAGGUCUCCCUGCUUUAUCUGCCGACUCCUAAAAGCCAGACAUAUUUGCAUUGCUUUUCAUUUCCGCAGGCUUGGCAGUACGAAUGAUAAAGGAAGAGGAGCACACUGUACAAACCUUGCUCAACAAAGGAAGCUGUAGCUAAUGAUUUGCAUAUGGAGAAUGCGAGGAUAAGGCCCACACAGGGCUGCCUCGGAUGUUAUUAUCGGCCUCCCAUCAUCGCUGGGAGCUGAUGCCUGUCAACAUCCAGUGCACAGCCGCAAAGAGAGGGUCUAGGUCACACCUUGGUGUCAGAUGUGGCAGUCUCCCCCGGCAAAGUCACUCUCACGUGAACCACAAAAAUCUAUAUUUCAAUAGAGGAUAUUGUUUUCCGGUUCACCAAACUUGUAGAUCUGACGAGUGAACUCCCUCCAGUGCCCGUUCAGGGCUCGGACCCAUCAAUUUCACAGCUUUAUGUUGACCUGUCUCUUACAAUGCUCUCAGCUGUGCUCCCGGAUAUAUUUUAUUUACAACAUUUUAAUCAUGCAGAAGAUUAAUGAAAAUUUGAUCACUGUACAUUAUUCAACUUGUCCCCCUGGAGAGGGGUCUGCUUAAUGGCAUGACACAAUGCCUGUAUUGAAUAGUUAUCAUGCGCCACAACAUUUAUCUCCUGUCCAUCUGAUUGUAUUGAGCUUCGGCAAAAAUAAAUGUCUUGCUCCACAACGGUGGUAUCUCUUUAACUCUUACUUAUUCUGCACCUUCCUUUGGCUGUGACAUUAUCAUGUCUGCAUAUCAGUCUGUAAAAUCAUAAUAUGUGAAGUGCGGC
RNAcentral lists this long non-coding RNA (1509 nucleotides) under Sparus aurata (gilthead seabream). RNAcentral describes it as "lncRNA (ENSSAUG00010019529.1)". Lineage: Eukaryota; Metazoa; Chordata; Actinopteri; Spariformes; Sparidae. The record is from RNAcentral.